UUGACAUAAUUUGAGUUACAGUAGCUUAAUUGGAUCUCAGAUCUGGUUCUUCAUUCUCAAAGUUGCCCUUUUUCUUCCUCCGCAUAUCCAAGCCCCAAACCAUGAAGACAAACCAAACAGAAGAUGAAGCCAAUCAAACAAAUCCAUACCCAAAUCAGAAAAAGGAGAUGAAGGAAGAAGACUACGAUGGAGGAAGGGAGAUCGAGGGUGAGAAGACCCACGGCCACAGUUAUGGCUCCGGCGGAGAUGUUCAAUUACUUAAGUUUGGAUCUUUGCAUAUGGAUCUGUUCUCCCUCCCCCUUUGAAUCUGGAUCUGUCCAUUUUGAAUAUGGAUCUUUUUCAUCUACUAAAGGAGGAGCAUGAAGGGGUAUAAUACUAUCAAUUGUUGGAAGUCUACAGGUGCUGCGUUGAGACCAUGUCAAUAACACAUAUGCGGAUGCAAACAACUGGGUUCAUAUGCUGGGAGGAGUAUUAAUUGUUAGGUUAUCUCACAAUAAGUUUUGGGUUCUGUAGUUUUAUCUGUUGAUAGGAUAGGAUCCACUUUGUGUUGGAGUCAGCAUGUGUUUGUAAAGCUCGCGGCUUUUCCACCCUCUGCUCUUCACUUCUCCGUUGUUUAUUGCUUUUUUAUUGAAAAUGUUGAAGCUUUGAGAGAUAGAAAAGUGGGUGGGUAAGAGGGGAAUGAAGAACCAUAUGGGUUGCAAAGAAAAAAACCAGAUCUUGAUGAAGAAAAUGUGUCUCUUGCUUGUUUUCAUCAAUUUUCCUGCAAAGUUUUCUUCUUUUGCAGAGAGUUGCAAAGGUUAAGAACAUUUUGGAGAUGGUGGAGUUUUUUCCAAACCCAGAAGAAAAAGAUCCAAGCUUUUCUCAACCCCUGAAACAAAAGAUCCAAAUUUUUUAUGUCUGCAGUAGAUGAAGAAGAGAGGAAAGAGGAGAGUAAAGAGAUUAUUGGUUAGAGGUGGAGGUGGAGGUGGAGGGGGCGGUGGUUGUCGUGGGGUCAUGGAGGUUUCAGAGAGAUGAUGGCUGGGUGGUCAUGGAGGUUUCAGAGAGAUGGUGGUUGGGUCAAAAUUUCAGAAUUUUUUUUAAGAAAG
Molecule: long non-coding RNA, 1085 nt
Filed under: Lotus japonicus
Lineage: Eukaryota; Viridiplantae; Streptophyta; Magnoliopsida; Fabales; Fabaceae
Description: long non-coding RNA (LJAP_LNC000532)
Source: RNAcentral